Non-coding RNA from Hipposideros armiger (great roundleaf bat), 394 nucleotides. NCBI's taxonomy places the organism in Eukaryota, Metazoa, Chordata, Mammalia, Chiroptera, Hipposideridae. The record is from the annotation of a RefSeq genome assembly.
ACACAGGGCUGAGUCUCUGGGGAAGGCAGAGCUGUGGUCUAGAAGAAGAUGAGGCUGCUGGGUCUUCUCCUGUGCCUGGUGACAGCCCCCCAAGGUGUCCUGUCCCAGGUACAGCUGCAGGAGUCGGGCACAGGACUGGUGAAGCCCUCGCAGACCCUGUCCCUCACCUGCACAGUCUCUGGAUUCUCUUUAAGCAGCUAUGGUGUACACUGGAUACGCCAGGCUCCUGGAAAGGUGCUGGAGUGGGUUGGUGUUGUGUGGGGUGGUGGAAGCACAGCCUAUAACCCAACGCUUAAGUCCCGCCUCAGCAUCACCAAGGAAACCUCCAAGAGCCAAGUUUAUUUAACACUGAAGAGCCUGACAGCUGAGGACAUGGCCGUGUAUUACUGUGCGA